AUGUCUCGCUUCCUCCUGCGCCGCUUCCUCUGCUCCUCUUCCUCCACCACUCCCGCAGCUGGCGCAGGUUUCAUCCGCGAGCUCGCCACCCUCCUCGCCGCUGGCCGCUUCUACGCCUCCGUCGACCUGGCGAAAUCACUCCUCCUCUCCUCCCAGCCACCAGCCACCUCCGUCCCCGACCUCUAUCACGCCCUUGUCUCCACCGCUGCCGCCUCCCUAUUCGACCCGCAUCCCCCAUCCUUCCUCUCCGACGCCGCCUCCGCGCUCGUCGUUGCCUCCGCUCGGCUUGGCCUCCCCGACGGCGCACUCCGGCUACUUUCCCUCCUCGCCGACGCCCGCGCAACUCUGCCGUCCCUAUCCUCCUGCAACCUCCUCCUUGAGUCCCUCCUCUCCCUCGGCCGCCACGCCGACGUGCGCCGGGCGUUCGACCUCCUAAAUGCCGCCGGGGCACGCCCCGACACCUUCACAUGGAACAAGGCCAUCCAGGCGUGCGUCGUGGCAGGUGAUGUCGACGAGGCUGUCCGGAUGCUUCGUCGGAUGGAUUGUGAAGGCCACGGCGCCCCAGCGCCCAACGCCUUCUCAUACAAUGUGGUCAUCGCUGGACUGUGGAGAGCAGGAAGGGGUAGUGACGCUGUUGAGGUGUUUGAUGAAAUGGGAGAGAGGGCUGUGUUGCCAAGUCAUAUCACGUACAAUACGAUGAUUGAUGGACACAUCAAGAUAGGGGACUUGGAGGCUGGUUUUAGGCUGCGGGAUCAGAUGUUGCAUCAUGGCCUGAAGCCGAAUAUGAUCACUUACAAUGUGCUGUUGUCAGGGCUGUGCCGUGCUGGCAGGAUAGGCGAGACGGCCACAGUGUUGCAUGAAAUGAUGUCACGAAAGAUGGUUCCGGACUGUUUCACAUAUAGCAUUCUGUUCGAUGGUUAUUCCAGAGUUGGAGACUCGCAGGCAAUGCUUUCCUUGUUUGAGGAGUCUGUGAAGAAGGGUGUGAAGAUUGGGGCUUAUACUUUUAGUAUUUUGCUGAAUGGUCUUUGCAACGAUGGCAAAAUUUCAAAGGCAGAAGAGGUACUGCAGACGUUUGUAAAUGCAGGACAACUCCCAACAAGGGUUAUCUACAACACUCUUAUCAAUGGGUAUUGUCAGAUUGGAGAGCUUGAAGGGGCCUUCUCAACCUUUCAGCAGAUGAAAUCACGCCUUGUUAGUCCAGAUCACAUCACCUAUAAUGCACUAAUAAACGGUUUGGGUAAGGCUGAAAGGAUCACAGAAGCACAUGCUUUGGUCACAGAGAUGGAGAAGAAUGGAGUGAGUCCUAGUGUGGAAACUUUCAAUACGCUUAUUGAUGCAUAUGGAAGGGAUGGGCAGCUUGAAAAAUGUUUCGUUCUACUUUCUGAUAUGCGAGAGAAGGGGCUAAAGCCAAAUGUGGUCUCCUAUGGUUCAAUUGUCAAUACCUUUUGCAAGAAUGGGAAAAUCCCGGAAGCAGUAGCUAUUUUGGAUGAUAUGUUCCAUAAAGAUGUUUUACCAGGUGCACAGGUGUACAAUGCGAUCAUAGAUGCAUAUAUAGACUGUGAUGCCACUGAACAGGCUUUUACUCUAGCUGAAAAGAUGAAGACUAGUGGGGUACCUCCAAGUAUAGUUACAUGCAAUUUGCUGAUAAAAGGCCUUUGCAAGCAGUCUCGGAUAUCUGAAGCAGAGGAACUAAUUCACAGCUUAAGAAAUCAUGGAUUAACUCCUGAUGUUGUCGGCUAUAAUACUCUAAUAUCAGCAUGCUGCUACAGGAGCAACACUGAUAGAGCUUUGGAGCUUCAGAAAGAAAUGUGCAAGUGUGGCAUCAAACCUUCAUCGAGAACAUAUUGUAUUCUUCUGAGUGCAUUGGGUGGUGCAAGAAGAAUACAUGAGAUGGAAAAUCUGUAUAAAGAAAUGUUGGACAAGGAUGUUGUUCCUUGCAGUCGCAUUUAUGAUAUCAUGGUUGAGGCCUAUGUGAAAUGUGGGGAUGAAUCUAAGGUAGAAGCUCUGAGGAAGGAUUUCUCGGAAAAAGGGACAUCAAUUGAUUAUGACACAUCCGUGACUUAG
Molecule: ribosomal RNA, 2064 nt
Filed under: Triticum aestivum (bread wheat)
Lineage: Eukaryota; Viridiplantae; Streptophyta; Magnoliopsida; Poales; Poaceae
Description: partial small subunit ribosomal RNA
Source: RNAcentral